Molecule: ribosomal RNA, 253 nt
Filed under: uncultured bacterium
Lineage: Bacteria
Description: partial 16S ribosomal RNA
Rfam family: Bacterial small subunit ribosomal RNA
Source: RNAcentral
UACGUAGGUGGCAAGCGUUGUCCGGAAUUAUUGGGCGUAAAGCGCGCGCAGGCGGCCUUUUAAGUCUGAUGUGAAAGCCCACGGCUCAACCGUGGAGGGUCAUUGGAAACUGGGGGACUUGAGUGCAGAAGAGGAAAGCGGAAUUCCACGUGUAGCGGUGAAAUGCGUAGAGAUGUGGAGGAACACCAGUGGCGAAGGCGGCUUUCUGGUCUGUAACUGGCGCUGAGGCGCGAAAGCGUGGGGAGCAAACAGG